RNAcentral lists this transfer RNA (109 nucleotides) under Rhodococcus (subgen. Prescottella) equi. Its description in RNAcentral is "Rhodococcus hoagii tRNA-OTHER". It matches the Rfam family "tRNA". From Rfam's summary of the family: Transfer RNA (tRNA) molecules are approximately 80 nucleotides in length. Their secondary structure includes four short double-helical elements and three loops (D, anti-codon, and T loops). Further hydrogen bonds mediate the characteristic L-shaped molecular structure. tRNAs have two regions of fundamental functional importance: the anti-codon, which is responsible for specific mRNA codon recognition, and the 3' end, to which the tRNAs corresponding amino acid is attached (by aminoacyl-tRNA synthetases). tRNAs cope with the degeneracy of the genetic code in two manners: having more than one tRNA (with a specific anti-codon) for a particular amino acid; and 'wobble' base-pairing, i.e. permitting non-standard base-pairing at the 3rd anti-codon position. The record is from RNAcentral. Lineage: Bacteria; Bacillati; Actinomycetota; Actinomycetes; Mycobacteriales; Nocardiaceae.
UCCCCUGUAGUCCAGCGGCCCAAGACACGGCGUCCGUACGGUGCGAGUCCGGCCGGCAAUGGCAAGCAGCCCCGGCGCUCUAACGCUGGUUCGAAUCCAGCCAGGGGAC